UACGUAGGUGGCGAGCGUUAUCCGGAACUAUUGGGCGUAAAGGGUGCGUAGGCGGCCUGCUAAGUCUGGAGUGGAAGGUACCGGCUCAACCGGUACAGGCUCUGGAAACUGGCGGGCUAGAGAGCAGGAGAGGAGAAUGGAAUUCCUAGUGUAGCGGUGAAAUGCGUAGAGAUUAGGAAGAACACCAGUGGCGAAGGCGAUUCUCUGGACUGUAACUGACGCUGAGGCUCGAAAGCGUGGGGAGCAAACAGG
RNAcentral lists this ribosomal RNA (252 nucleotides) under uncultured bacterium. RNAcentral's name for it is "partial 16S ribosomal RNA". It matches the Rfam family "Bacterial small subunit ribosomal RNA", at positions 524 to 776 of the family's 1533-position model. The record is from RNAcentral.